Molecule: long non-coding RNA, 906 nt
Organism: Zingiber officinale
Lineage: Eukaryota; Viridiplantae; Streptophyta; Magnoliopsida; Zingiberales; Zingiberaceae
Exons: 3
Source: RefSeq, a predicted model, not a curated record
GAACCCGUGCGUGCCCUAUGCUUGACGCCAUCUCCUCCGUGCCCUAACCGGCGACGGUUUUCCUUUCUUCCUCACGAUUAAAGCCUCACCGAUCUUUUCCUUCUUCGCCUUCUCAUCUUCUCAUCUUCUCCACGCCGUCCCGUGCCCUAGCCAUGCCUUCUCCUCCUCUUUAUCGCGUCGCCACAGCAGGAGUGGCACUCUCUUCCACUCUUCACCUUUCCUGCCCAAGCGUCGGCGACGUGCGAGCCAUCGCCGGCCGAGCCGCUCCUCAGUCCUAGCGCCGGCCUUCUCCACGUUGUGCCAUAGUUUUCUGACAUCGAUUUCUUCCUCUCUGCCGAGGAUUUCAUCGCUGCCAUCCACUGCGGACUCACACCCGACAGUACCGACACCGCAAUUGCUCUGCCCUAGUGCCGGCAGACGACUGCCCCCUCUGCUGCGAUUUGGUAGCAUUCCAGCCGAGCCCUAGUUUUCGAUCCGUGGUUUCCGAGGGUGUUCGGUUGCUCUGAUGCAACUGGUAGUGACCUAGGUUGGUUCCGGCUACCAUUGUAUCAGUAGCGCUUGUUGUUGACUCUGCUCGAUCCAUGGCUCUUGGUAGCUGUUGAAGAGGAAGUGGUGGUGAGAACAGGUUAUUACUAAAAUUAGGUUGUUGCUUGAAUUAAUAAUCUCUAGUCUAGUUCUGAUAUGUGAUCUUCCUGUUGAUCUCAUCUUGAUCUGUUGAGUAAGUAGGAUUCCAGCCAAGUGUGGUGCGUUAUGGGGAAAACUUCAGCAAGGAGGUCUUGUUGUGGUAUACCUUGUUUCCAGCAGCAAUCAGCUCACCUUGUUCUGUGUUCAACAAUGGUUGAGCUUGAGGACUUUGACUUGAGACGGGCAUCUCGACGUCGGAUUGGACCGGAUACGACCUUUUCU